RNAcentral lists this ribosomal RNA (400 nucleotides) under uncultured bacterium. RNAcentral's name for it is "bacterial SSU rRNA". It matches the Rfam family "Bacterial small subunit ribosomal RNA", at positions 355 to 771 of the family's 1533-position model. The record is from RNAcentral.
UGGGGAAUAUUGCACAAUGGGCGAAAGCCUGAUGCAGCGACGCCGCGUGAGGGAAGACGGUCUUCGGAUUGUAAACCUCUGUCUUCGGUGACGACCAAAGACGGUAGCCGAGGAGGAAGCCACGGCUAACUACGUGCCAGCAGCCGCGGUAAUACGUAGGUGGCAAGCGUUGUCCGGAAUUACUGGGUGUAAAGGGAGCGCAGGCGGGUAGACAAGUCAGGUGUGAAAAUUAUGGGCUUAACCCAUAACUUGCAUUUGAAACUGUUUAUCUUGAGCGGAGUAGAGGCAGGCGGAAUUCCGAGUGUAGCGGUGAAAUGCGUAGAGAUUCGGAGGAACACCAGUGGCGAAGGCGGCCUGCUGGGCUCUAACUGACGCUGAGGCUCGAAAGUGUGGGUAGCAA